AAGGAGCACCACGAAAAGGGUUGAGACACUGGGUCUUACCCGAGCCGUGAGGAACCGGUUGCCUGUAGUGGGCACGGUUUGGUGCACAACAAACGUUGAGCCGCAAGGGAUUUUGCGGUGAUGGGACUGCCAGACACACUAUUGGGCUUUGAGACAACAGGCCCGUGCCCCUUUUUUGGGGGGUGGCAUCCGGUUGCGGGUGUCGGCGUGUUGUUGCCUCACUUUGGUGGUGGGGUGUGGUGUUUGAUUUGUGGAUAGUGGUUGCGAGCAUCUAGCACGCAGUGUGGCUGGGGGCCUUCGGGUUUCCGGUCUUGUUGUGUGUUGAUGUGCAAUUUCUUUUGAAACUCAUUUUUGGUUUUUGUG
This 363-nucleotide unclassified non-coding RNA is filed under the name Mycolicibacterium fortuitum. RNAcentral's name for it is "partial 16S-23S ribosomal RNA intergenic spacer". The record is from RNAcentral. Lineage: Bacteria; Bacillati; Actinomycetota; Actinomycetes; Mycobacteriales; Mycobacteriaceae.